CGCACGAAGGUCUUGCGGCCUCCCGCGGAAGGAGCGGAGGGUGCUUGAGGGGCGGGCCCAGUGACCGGCGCUGGGAGUAAGGGUCAGCGGCGCAGAGGAGGUUUUAUUAUUUUAAGUAAUCUUCGUAGCCGACGUGGGGCUCAAGCUCACGAUCCUGAGAUCAAGAGUCACUCCACCAACUGAGCCAGCCAGGUGCCCUUAGUUCCAGUUCUUAAUGACCAUGAAACAAAGGGGCUUAGAAGUUGGCACUCAAAAACGGCUGGCUCCAGAAGACCUGAAGCUCCCACAAGGUCAGGAAGGUAUGGAAUAUUUGAAGAGAGCCUCACUUGUCCACCCACAUACCUGCUGGUGACGAUAGAUGCCAUACACUGCAGGAGGGACUGGCACAUUGACGCUGUCAAAGACCAGUUUACUUCCAGAUUUGCUGCUGUAGAGAUGAGCCAGUUCAGGCUCUGGACCCAGGAUGGGGAUGCCUAACAUAUCCGCCACGGCCAAAUCAUCUCUGUGGAGGAACCCGCCGACAAUGUAGGCCUCUUUUCCUUGGAUGAGAUUUUUUAUUCUUUUGAUCGCCUUGGGACUGUACAUCAGCUUAAAGCAUCGUAUAGUAACUUGGAGAGAUGUACAAACAGAUUUUUGGCACGCUUUUAAAAAAUCUCCUCAAAGCCAUCCAUUUGGAUGAAAAUCAGCACUGAUCCAAUCUCUCAAACCCAUUAAAAGGAAAUAAAGCCAUAACUAAACAUGAGCAAGAACUGAUUUGAAAAUGCAAACCCACAAAGAUGCAAACCCACACUACGAAUGUGACUCAGCACAUCGGUUAGUGCCAACUGCCUAUCUCUUGCUUAGAAGCUGAAGAGUGGUCUGCAGUGCAUAUGUCUCAGGUAACAACAGGAUUGCAGAGCUGGGAAGGGCUUUGAAAUGCCCUAGCCAUCACCUGAUUGUAUGGACGAAGCUCAGAGGACCAGAAAGGUAAAGGGAGCUGCCCAAGCCACAGGGUCAUCCAGUAACAAAGCAAUCAUUCCAGUUCCUGAUACUGUUCUGGGGUCAGACACAUUUUGGCUCACACUUUGAGCCCACCAGUAACUUUUGACAAGAACAGGAGACUUGGUUUCCUCAGCCAUAGAAAGAGAUUGGUCAUUUCUGUCAUGUUGCAGUGUUCUGAGGACCAAAUGAGAAAAUGUGUGCUAAGCAUUUGAUAAAUAUUAGUUGUGCACUCACUUUCCUUCUCCCAAACUAGUGCUCCUUUCCUAGUCCAUGCCCCUUCGAUGUACAUGGACAUUUCAGAUGUACAGGAACUCCUUAUCAGCAGCUACCAGGCAUUAGCUCCAGUUUCUGGCUGGAUAAAAUCAGGAAAUGAACUACACACUGAUGGUUUUGUCUUCCCUGCUUUCUAAUGUCCACAGUGACCCUGCUAUCGAGGCCAGGGGUUAGCUAGGAAGCACCAAACAAUCCUUGCACUGAUGGAGGAUAUUGGGUUCCUAAUAGCAUAGGAUCUUCUUCACUCGGGUCUUAUGGCAAUGUAAGAGCCACGCGAUGGCAAUCACACCUGAAGCCCACUUCUGCUGGCGAUAAAUGAAGAAAAUUUGUCUCGCUUUGAAGCAUUUCCAUGUGGCUUGGAUCUUGAUGGCAGCCUCUGAUUUUCCAUCUUGGCCCUUGUACCUUUGGCCCGGAAGAUUUAACAUCAUUUGGAUGUGAACUGGGUUCUCUACCAGUGAGAGAAAGUCAUAUCUGAGACUCAUGUGGAAUUGGGACCAUCGAUGAAAAUGGAGCAACCUUGGGAGAAGAUUCUGAAAGAAGAGGACUCCAGUCUCUCUCAGGCAGUGCCUUCAAAUGGUGUAGGUGUGGGGCAUGUAUGUAUGUCAGGAAAUGAGUUUCAGACUUUUUGAAAGAAUAGCCCUGGUUUGGGAAUGGGGUUACAGAAUUGAACAGUGGCUGUUUGAGAACAAAGGGAUUAUACCUCCCUACCUUCUUGGAUGAUAUUCCAGUAAAGACCUGUUCUCCAAGGAAACACACUCUUGGACAUCAAAUAGACCACUCAGGCACGGGGAAGCUAUGGGUUUGGAGUCAGCUAAAGCAUAACUGUAGUACAUCUGUCACAGAGAAUGCCACACUUGGGAGCACUUCACACUUAGAGCUGGAAAAGACAUGUCUCUCAAGAGGAAGGCUUCCCAAAUUAAAGCAGUGCAUCAGCAUUGUGGGAUCCAUUGAGCAGGUAAAGACAAAGCUGCUUCACAGCCUGCUAGGAAUAAGAGCCCUGAUUAAAGGUCAGGCCAGCCUUCAGAUUCCCGUUUCUUCUGCUAUUUUUCCUUUACUAUUUAUCUCCAUGAACUUGUCUGCAAUUAUCUGUCACCGACCUUCUUUCUCUCCGCCUACCUUCCUUCUUUCUAUUCCUUCCUUCUUUUCUUUCCUUCCUCCCACUCUCCCUCCCUUUCUCCCUCCCUUUCUCCCUUUCUCCCUUUCUCCUUUUUUUUUUUUUUGUUCUUUUUGUUUUUAAGAUAUGCUGUACUCCCAACAUGAUGUUGCUGAAUAUCAGUGUUGUUUUCCUUCUAGUGGAGAUGGCUCUCUGUUAUGCCAUCCACAUGCUCUCCUGGUCCUUCCUAAGCUCCUGGCCACACCUUCACCAGGGCCCAAACCUGUGGCAUUGUUUAGCAUCCUGCUCUAACUAACUAAAUCGACUAGCUGGGAAAUGCUCUUCAUCAUCUGCAAAGUGUUACUACUAAUGAGGUAAUUUUGAGAGUUUCUGGAGCAGUAAUUUAGGCAGAACUCUGAAUUUAAAACAAACGAACAAACAAAGCCCAGGAAGGCAAGAUGAUGAUUACAUAUGCAGGUAAGCUAUAAGUGGGAAGCAAAAAAGAUAGGCCCAGUAUUACCUCCUAAAUUUUAGAAAUAACUGGCACAAUGAGAAACUCUAGGAAAAAAAGGCAUGUACUUCUAAGAUGAAUGUCUUUAUGAAAAAUGUUCUUUUCACACAUGUGGACAGCAUGUGGAUGCAGGAUUAAACCAUAUCUGAGGAUCCCUAAGUUAGAUAUAACCAAGAUCUCCUGGUGGUAAAUGGUCAAGUAUAUGGGAUAAUCCAACAUGGAUAUCAUCUUUAGGGAAGGAUUUGCCUAGAAGGACAGACUAAAAUUGCUUUUGAAUCCAUAAACUGAUGUUCAGUUUCUCCAAAACUCAAACAUAUCCAUGAUUAAUUAGCUUUGGCAGCGCUGUUGUGUGAAAAAGAAUAAAUUCUUCCUGCCAUUAGGGCUCUAUUUGAGUGCUUACAUUCAGAGUAUGAGUGAAGUGACUCUCAGAGAUGGAACUUUCAUUCUUUCCUGAAAACCAGGGAGGCCAAUGGUCUGGCCUAUUCUUUAAUAAUUGUUAACAGUCUGAAAUGUGUUAAGCUUUGUAUAAAACAGAUAUCAGUACCUCAGACUGUCAGCACUAUUUGAAAGAUAUAAAUAAUAUUCAGAGAGAGUAGCUGACCUAAUCAGGAUUUAGGGAUUCAGCAUAAUUACAGUCCUGAAUUUUAGAGCAUGAAGGCCUUGCUUUUUUUUGUUUGUUUGUUUGUUUGUUUGUUUGUUUGUUUGUUUUACUCAAUAGGCUAUUAUGGGCUCGGAGAAACGAGCCUUGGCCCUACAGUCUGACUCACCUAGGUUCGAGUCCAAGCUCUGCCGCUGUCUGCUACACAUUCCUGGGCAAGUUACCAUCUGCUAUGGAUUGAAUGUUUGUCUCCAUAACAUUUGUAUGUUGAAGCCCAGUUCUUGGUGUGAUGGUGUUUGGAGGUGGGGCCUCUAAGAAAUAAUUAGGUCAUGAAGGUGGAGGCUUCAUGAUGAGAUUAAUGCCCUUAUAAGAAGAGAGACAAGACAGAUGAUUUCUCUGUCAUGUGAAAAUAUAGGAAGAAGGUGGCUGUUUGCAGAGCAGGAAGAGGGCCCUCAACACAACCUAACCACACUGGCACCCUAAUCUUGCACUUCCAGCCUCCAGAACUUGGAGAAAUAAAUGUUUGUUGUGUAAGCCUCCCACCUUAUGUCAUUUUGUUACGGUGGUCCAAGCUACGACAACAUCCUCUCUGAAUUUAAAUGUUUCUCGUCUCUAAAAAUGAUAGAUCCCUGCAGAGUUGCUGUGAAGAUCAUAAUAUGUGUAAAGAGCCUUUCACAGUGUCUUACCUCCAGUCAUGUUUAGGUUAUUAGUGUGGAUGAGGAAACAGGCUCAGAGAGGUUAGGUGAUUUGCCCAAGAUCACAUAACUAGUCACCUUUCCCUUCCCCCAUACCAUCCAUGCCCAAAGCCCUAACUGUCCAGAACGUCCUGUAAGACCCCUUACCAAGCUGUGCUCUCCUUGUUCAACCUUCCUUUUACUACCUCCUUCAUCAGAGCUGACCUGGUCUGGACCUGCUAUUUCUUUCUUAUUUGGAAAGUGGCCUGUUCAACUAACCCCUAUGAAUAUGCUAAUGAACUAUGGCAUGGAAGAAAAGUGCGGGAUUUGAAGUGAGAAGACAUAGGAUCUAGGCUGUUACCACGUUACUACACAGCCUUGGGAAGUCACCUCUCCUGUGGGCUGUUUCCAUUAGGGGAUCAUUCAAGGUGCUUCUGAUUUUGAUACCCUAAGUGUCUCUGACUUAAAGUGAUUUUGACACCCUAGGUCUCUCUGACCUAUUAAUUGGUAUGUGUUGUUUAAUAAACUCCUGGAGUUAGCAGAGCCAGCAAAUUGAAGAUAUAUCUUCAAUUGAGUCAUUUCAUGUACUAUAAGAAAGACCGAGGGAUUUUUUCGCCUCUAUUUUUUAAAUAGGAAGCUCUUUCUAGAAAUUUACAAACCAGUAGAGGAAGAGCUGUUUACACCAACUAUACGUAGAGGUGGUCACGGGGAGAGAACCCCAAAGAGUGAUAUUCCAGUAUUUCAGGGUCUGCAAAUCCCCCAAAACAGUUCUCAGUUCGUAAGACCUAGAAACUGCAUUUAAGCUAUAACUGUCAAUUAAAAAUGAGAGUCAGAGUCCCUAAGCUUUAUAAAGAGGAUAAAAGGCAAAAACAGAGAAUUCACUGAGCAGAGACAUACAAAGGGAGAGAAUUGUGUGUAAAGGCUGCUCGGAUGAGUGGCAAUUUUCUAGGGCUAAUUUCUGCAAUCGCUUUGAAAGAUAUAUUUAUUCAAACGAGACUUCCUGAACUCUGAAACACUUUCUGAGGAGAAAAAAAUGUUCCUGUGGAACAAAAACACUCAAUGGAUCAAAUUCUGGUUGAAGAUCAAACAGAACAAAAUCAGGAAGACUUUUUUAAAAUAGACGGUGUAUAUGUCAAAUGUGAACUUUCCUUUUCUAGAGACCCAUCUCAUUUUACUGCUGCAUUGAUUUCAUUUUUUCUGCUACCUUUCUAAUAUUUUCUGAGAGCAUGUGACAUAGAUAAGGACCACUGAGGACAAUUAUGACUGAUGUUUGGAACCUGCCAGGGAUAUGUACAGGGAACCUGGCAGAAGGGGAAUGGAAAGAAGCCUGUGUUCCUAUAUUCCUGAGAAAAGAACCAUCAUCAUCUUCUCUAUGGGUAAAGGAAUAAGAGUGAGCCUCCCAAAGGACCUGUGUUAUCACCAAAGUAAAGCUUGACAUUAUAGUUUUCUUGGGAAAAAUGUGUACAUAGCAAGUCUGGUGAUCCCAGAUGGCUAAAAGAUACUUGCAAAAUUCUUAUAACACCCCACCUUUUCACAUUUGCUAAACCUACAUAUGUAUUCCACUUUAUUUUCAUUCAUAGCACUCAUCACUGCCUGACCUUAUAUUAAAUAUCUGCCUUCCUCACCAGAAUAUAAGUCCCAAGAGGGCAAAGACUUGGUUUGUUUUGUUCACUGCUGUAUCCCCAGUGCCUAGUACACUUCCUGGCACAUGGUAAAAGGUGAACAAAGAUUAGUGGAAGGAAGGAAGGAAGGAAGGAAGGAAGGAAGGAAGGAAGGAAGGAAGGAAGGAAAGAAGGAAAGAAGGAAGGAAAGAAGGAAGGAAGGAAGGAAGGAAUAGUACAAUUUAAAUUCAUAGCCACUUGGGCUGGAUUUACAGCACAAAACUGUUCUGUGAUCACACAAGUUAUUUGCAAACUCACAGCUUGAGUUUUGAAACACCAGCAGACCACUUGGAUCUGAAAAUGUCCAUACCCUUGACCAAGAAAUGGUCAAGUAGCUUAUGGGUUGCCUGGGUGGCUUAGCUGGUUAAGUGUUCAACUCUUGAUUUUGGCUCAGGUCAUGAUGUCAGGGCCAUGAGAUUGAGCCCCAUGUUGGGCUCUAUGCUAUGCGUGGAGUCUGCUUAAGAUUCUGUCUCUCCCUCUCCCUCUACCCUUCCCACUCACGUGCUCUCGCUUCCUCUUUCUCUAAAAAAAAGUAGCUUAAAUAGUACAAAGAUUUAUGUACAAAUAUGAAAAAUGUUCAUGGCAGUUUGA
Long non-coding RNA from Neofelis nebulosa (Clouded leopard), 6382 nucleotides. RefSeq lists it as uncharacterized. Lineage: Eukaryota; Metazoa; Chordata; Mammalia; Carnivora; Felidae. The transcript is spliced from 7 exons. The record is from RefSeq and is a predicted model, not a curated record.